Molecule: long non-coding RNA, 505 nt
Filed under: Capsella grandiflora
Lineage: Eukaryota; Viridiplantae; Streptophyta; Magnoliopsida; Brassicales; Brassicaceae
Description: long non-coding RNA (CGRA_LNC000623)
Source: RNAcentral
CUACCUCCGUAACGGCACGUCCGAGGCCCGUAACACCGAGAAUGGAGGGCAAGGCCGUAUAGGCUCGUACGAAGUUAAGGAAUGCCUAGAAAACAAGAGCCAAGGUGAAGAAGAAGAAGGAUAACCAGAGACAACUACGUGGCCUCUCAUUCCUUCGAAUAAGGUAAGUUCGGUUUUCAUUGUUUCCAUUUUCUCUUAAGUGUUUUGCAGGGCCUAUCAACCGAAAAUUUUCGUUUUAUUUCAUUGAGUCUAAGUCCUAGAGAGUUGAACCUAAGCCUCCGACUUGUGGAGAGGGUUCACUUGUGCGAAUGACACAAGUUUCCUUUUUGGUUGUUUUUCUUUACUUUAUUUUGUAACCGUUAGUUUAUUUGAGAUAGAAUCUCGACGCUCGAAGGUCAUGGCUGAAGGACUAUUAAUAAAGUCCCAUUCGCAGCCUUGUAGUCACGUUUUUAACCUAGAUCAAUAAAGUUGCAUUUUCUUCUCUUGCGCCGUUUGCGAGUUGAGA